Long non-coding RNA from Schistocerca nitens (vagrant locust), 140 nucleotides. RefSeq lists it as uncharacterized. The record is from RefSeq and is a predicted model, not a curated record. Lineage: Eukaryota; Metazoa; Arthropoda; Insecta; Orthoptera; Acrididae. The transcript is spliced from 3 exons.
CCCGCCCGCGACUGCCCGCUGCCUUGCUGGCCGCCGCUCUGCUCUCAGGAUGUCUGGUAGUUGCCGAAGAAGAAGAGCAGAUAAUACCUCCCGCAAAUUAUGUAAAGCGAGGAGCAGAGAACCUGGGACUUCGGGUGAGU